AUUGAACGCUGGCGGCAGGCCUAACACAUGCAAGUCGAGCGGAUGAAGGGAGCUUGCUCCUGGAUUCAGCGGCGGACGGGUGAGUAAUGCCUAGGAAUCUGCCUGGUAGUGGGGGAUAACGUCCGGAAACGGGCGCUAAUACCGCAUACGUCCUGAGGGAGAAAGUGGGGGAUCUUCGGACCUCACGCUAUCAGAUGAGCCUAGGUCGGAUAAGCUAGUUGGUGGGGUAAGGGCCUACCAAGGCGACGAUCCGUAACUGGUCUGAGAGGAUGAUCAGUCACACUGGAACUGAGACACGGUCCAGACUCCUACGGGAGGCAGCAGUGGGGAAUAUUGGACAAUGGGCGAAAGCCUGAUCCAGCCAUGCCGCGUGUGUGAAGAAGGUCUUCGGAUUGUAAAGCACUUUAAGUUGGGAGGAAGGGCAGUAAGUUAAUACCUUGCUGUUUUGACGUUACCAACAGAAUAAGCACCGGCUAACUUCGUG
This 484-nucleotide ribosomal RNA is filed under the name uncultured bacterium. Its description in RNAcentral is "partial 16S ribosomal RNA". It matches the Rfam family "Bacterial small subunit ribosomal RNA", at positions 30 to 507 of the family's 1533-position model. The record is from RNAcentral.